Molecule: ribosomal RNA, 471 nt
Filed under: uncultured bacterium
Lineage: Bacteria
Description: bacterial SSU rRNA
Rfam family: Bacterial small subunit ribosomal RNA
Source: RNAcentral
GAUGAACGCUGGCGGCGUGCUUAACACAUGCAAGUCGAGCGAAGCACUAAAGCGGAUUUCUUCGGAUUGAAGGUUUAGUGACUGAGCGGCGGACGGGUGAGUAACGCGUGGGUAACCUGCCUCAUACAGGGGGAUAACAGUUGGAAACGGCUGCUAAUACCGCAUAAGCGCACAGUACCGCAUGGUACGGUGUGAAAAACUCCGGUGGUAUGAGAUGGACCCGCGUCUGAUUAGGUAGUUGGUGGGGUAACGGCCUACCAAGCCGACGAUCAGUAGCCGACCUGAGAGGGUGACCGGCCACAUUGGGACUGAGACACGGCCCAAACUCCUACGGGAGGCAGCAGUGGGGAAUAUUGCACAAUGGGGGAAACCCUGAUGCAGCGACGCCGCGUGAGCGAAGAAGUAUUUCGGUAUGUAAAGCUCUAUCAGCAGGGAAGAAAAUGACGGUACCKACUAAGAGUCCCGAAUUCC